Molecule: long non-coding RNA, 219 nt
Filed under: Elaeis guineensis (African oil palm)
Lineage: Eukaryota; Viridiplantae; Streptophyta; Magnoliopsida; Arecales; Arecaceae
Description: long non-coding RNA (EGUI_LNC062592)
Source: RNAcentral
GUGCUUGCAUAAGAUAACAAUAAUUUUUAUUUCAAUAAAGAUAUGUGUAUAAUUUAUUUGAAAAAUAAAAUUAUUGCAUAUGCUUUCUUGAUUGAUGGUCUUUAUCAUUUGCAUAUGAAUGUGACUAUUAAUAUUAAUGAGCAAACUAUGAAUAUCAUAGGGUUUAAGAGACUUAGAGAUAGAAUUAGCCAAAAGUAUUUGUAGCAACUUAGGAUAGGC